CCAGACUCCUACGGGAGGCAGCAGUGGGGAAUAUUGCACAAUGGGGGAAACCCUGAUGCAGCGACGCCGCGUGAGCGAUGAAGUAUUUCGGUAUGUAAAGCCCUAUCGGCAGGGAAGAAACAGACGGUACCUGACUAAGAAGCCCCGGCUAACUACGUGCCAGCAGCCGCGGUAAUACGUAGGGGGCAAGCGUUAUCCGGAUUCACUGGGUGUAAGGGGAGCGUAGACGGCGACGCAAGUCUGGAGUGAAAGCCCGGGGCCCAACCCCGGGACUGCUCUGGAAACUGCGGCGCUGGAGUACGGGAGGGGCAGACGGAAUUCCUAGUGUAGCGGUGAAAUGCGUAGAUAUUAGGAGGAACACCAGUGGCGAAGGCGGUCUGCUGGACAGCAACUGACGCUGAGGCGCGAAAGCGUGGGGAGCAAACAGGAUUAGAUACCCGAGUA
Molecule: ribosomal RNA, 444 nt
Filed under: uncultured bacterium
Lineage: Bacteria
Description: partial 16S ribosomal RNA
Rfam family: Bacterial small subunit ribosomal RNA
Source: RNAcentral